GCUAUAUAGGGAGCUGCUGGCAGCGCAGCUCGCUCUUUUGCGUCUGGACUCGGUGCUUGGUUUUGUGCCUUUGGAACAAUGGCGCUCGGUGUAACGAAGCCGUUACGUGAAGAUGCUAAGAUGCAAAGGAAAAUUCCAAAACUUACGGGAGAAUAUUUGCUGGAAAAUUACCUGGCUAAGACCUGACAAUCUUGCCAGCAUCCUGGGAGUUGGUGAUUACUAAUGAAGCUGUGGAUGUCACUGGCUGUCAGAUUCGUUUUGAAUGAGAGGUCGCUGUCUGCCUGUUGAAAGAGGCCAGUUUACUAUGACGUUUUUAAGCUGCAACCAUUUCUGUGUUAGAAGAUUUACCUGCCUUUUGUAUGGAAAACUGGUGAUCUUCAUUUUGUGGACAUGGAAAGAAAACAUGCAGAUCAAGAUUAUCUGGAGUAUUUUUUAGUCAUGUCACACUGUCCUGGAGGCUCACAACCUGUUAACUAGUAGAUUACAUCCUAGCUGUUUCUAGGAGUGCAUGUCAAACUAAGUAUUUGUAAUGGAAUUUUUUUCCCCCAGUUAAGGAGUCUUGUAAUCAAAUAAUUAAUUGGAUGAAUGUAUUUAAAUGUAAAAUGUGUAAUUAAAGCUGUGUAAAAGUUUAUUUGAAAGAAUGUUUAAACUAAAAAAUGGAGAGUAAUGAUGAGAAUAAAGAGGGGCACAGUGUGGCAGUGGAAGGUCGCUGAAAAUAAUUUGAGUUAGAACUAGUCAAACAUUGUACAGAAUGGAUUUAGUGUAAACAGUAAUGACAUCUGAUCUGUCCCAGGUGAUUAGGUCCCCAUUCAUGAUUAUUUUACCUAAAUAGCUCCCAAGCCCUCAUAUUUAAAUAUCAAGAUCAAAAUGCCAAAUUUUUUUCUUCAGUGAGCAGUCAUCUUUUCCCUAAAAUGUUUUCUUGCCUUAGAAGAAUUCUAUUUUGAACCCAUACGGUCAAGAAAGGCUCUGAAAAUGUUUCUUGCACCCAUAUUAAAAUGAACUAAAAUUAAAAGGGCUUAGUAUUUGGGGUAUCUGCACAUUAUAAAACCAGGUGCAAGAAAUUCAGUUUGGGAAAGCAAGGGGCCUUGAGACUUGUUUCAAUGAGAAAAGCAAUUAACAUAUUGUGAGUAUCCUGAUAUUACCAAAAGAAAUGAGAAAGACUAACCUUAGAUAAAUCCUUAGAGGUAAAGUACACCUUCAGGUAAGUAUUCAAUGAGAUUGUGUCUAAAAAAUGCAACAAUUGCAUUCUUGAAUAUUGCAGCUCUGAUAUAAGAUCAGUAAUUAAA
Molecule: long non-coding RNA, 1286 nt
Organism: Myotis brandtii (Brandt's bat)
Lineage: Eukaryota; Metazoa; Chordata; Mammalia; Chiroptera; Vespertilionidae
Exons: 6
Source: RefSeq, a predicted model, not a curated record